This 75-nucleotide transfer RNA is filed under the name Cryptococcus deneoformans B-3501A. RNAcentral describes it as "tRNA-Arg". It matches the Rfam family "tRNA". From Rfam's summary of the family: Transfer RNA (tRNA) molecules are approximately 80 nucleotides in length. Their secondary structure includes four short double-helical elements and three loops (D, anti-codon, and T loops). The record is from RNAcentral. Lineage: Eukaryota; Fungi; Basidiomycota; Tremellomycetes; Tremellales; Cryptococcaceae.
GCCCGUGUGGCCUAAUGGUUAAGGCUUCUGACUUCUAGUAUCAGAGGAUUGUGGGUUCGAGUCCCACCUUGGGCU